This 524-nucleotide ribosomal RNA is filed under the name uncultured bacterium. RNAcentral's name for it is "bacterial SSU rRNA". It matches the Rfam family "Bacterial small subunit ribosomal RNA", at positions 355 to 896 of the family's 1533-position model. The record is from RNAcentral.
UGGGGAAUAUUGGACAAUGGACCAAGAGUCUGACCCAGCAAUUCUGUGUGCACGAUGAAGUUUUUGGGAAUGUAAAGUGCUUUCAGUUGGGAAGAAAAAAAUGACGGUACCAACAGAAGAAGUGACGGCUAAAUACGUGCCAGCAGCCGCGGUAAUACGUAUGUCACGAGCGUUAUCCGGAUUUAUUGGGCAUAAAGCGCGUCUAGGUGGUUAUAUAAGUCUGAUGUGAAAAUGCAGGGCUCAACUCUGUAUUGCGUUGGAAACUGUAUAACUAGAGUACUGGAGAGGUAAGCGGAACUACAAGUGUAGAGGUGAAAUUCGUAGAUAUUUGUAGGAAUGCCGAUGGGGAAGCCAGCUUACUGGACAGAUACUGACGCUGAAGCGCGAAAGCGUGGGUAGCAAACAGGAUUAGAUACCCUGGUAGUCCACGCCGUAAACGAUGAUUACUAGGUGUUGGGGGUCAAACCUCAGCGCCCAAGCAAAUGCGAUAAGUAAUCCGCCUGGGGAGUACGUACGCAAGUAUG